CUAAGAAUCUUCCGCAAUGGGGGAAACCCUGACGGAGCGACGCCGCGUGGAUGAUGAAGGCCGUAAGGUUGUAAAAUCCUUUUGUUGGUGAAGAAUAAGCGGGGGAGUGGAAAGCCCUCGUGAUGACGUUAGCCGACGAAUAAGCCCCGGCUAAUUACGUGCCAGCAGCCGCGGUAAUACGUAUGGGGCAAGCGUUGUUCGGAGUUAUUGGGCGUAAAGGGCGUGUAGGCGGCUCAUCAAGUCUGGUGUGAAAUCGACAGGCUUAACCUGUCAUAUGCGCUGGAAACUGGUGGGCUUGAGUUCUUGAGGGGAAGCUGGAAUUCCAGGUGUAGGGGUGAAAUCUGUAGAUAUCUGGAAGAACACCGGUGGCGAAGGCGAGCUUCUAUCAGAGGACUGACGCUGAGGCGCGAAAGCGUGGGGAGCAAACAGG
RNAcentral lists this ribosomal RNA (430 nucleotides) under bacterium. Its description in RNAcentral is "partial 16S ribosomal RNA". It matches the Rfam family "Bacterial small subunit ribosomal RNA", at positions 355 to 776 of the family's 1533-position model. The record is from RNAcentral.